GAUGAACGCUGGCGGCGUGCCUAAUACAUGCAAGUCGAGCGAACAGAUAAGGAGCUUGCUCCUUUGACGUUAGCGGCGGACGGGUGAGUAACACGUGGGUAACCUACCUAUAAGACUGGGAUAACUUCGGGAAACCGGGGCUAAUACCGGAUAACAUGUAGAACCGCAUGGUUCAAAAGUGAAAGAGGGUUUUGCUGUCACUUAUAGAUGGACCCGCGCCGGAUUAGCUAGUUGGUAAGGUAACGGCUUACCAAGGCAACGAUACGUAGCCGACCUGAGAGGGUGAUCGGCCACACUGGAACUGAGACACGGUCCAGACUACUACGGGAGGCAGCAGUAGGGAAUGUUCCGCAAUGGGCGAAAGCCUGACGGAGCAACGCCGCGUGAGUGAUGAAGGUCUUCGGAUCGUAAAACUCUGUUAUUAGGGAAGAACAAAUGUGUAAGUAACUGUGCACGUCUUGACGGUACCUAAUCAGAAAGCCACGGCUAACUACGUG
RNAcentral lists this ribosomal RNA (497 nucleotides) under uncultured bacterium. RNAcentral describes it as "partial 16S ribosomal RNA". It matches the Rfam family "Bacterial small subunit ribosomal RNA", at positions 28 to 507 of the family's 1533-position model. The record is from RNAcentral.